CGAAAGCCUGACGGAGCAAUACCGCGUGAGGGAUGAAAGCCUGUGGGUUGUAAACCUCUUUUCUCAAGGAAGAAGUUCUGACGGUACUUGAGGAAUAAGCAUCGGCUAACUCUGUGCCAGCAGCCGCGGUAAUACGGGGGAUGCAAGCGUUAUCCGGAAUGAUUGGGCGUAAAGCGCCUGUAGGUUGUUUAUUAAGUCCGUUGUUAAAGCCUAGGGCUUAACCCUAGAAAAGCAAUGGAAACUAGUAGACUAGAGUAUGGCAGGGGUAGAGGGAAUUUCUAGUGUAGCGGUGAAAUGCGUAGAUAUUAGAAAGAACACCGGUGGCGAAAGCGCUCUACUGGACCAUUACUGACACUCAGAGGCGAAAGCUAGGGUAGCAAAAG
This 383-nucleotide ribosomal RNA is filed under the name uncultured bacterium. RNAcentral's name for it is "bacterial SSU rRNA". It matches the Rfam family "Bacterial small subunit ribosomal RNA", at positions 376 to 774 of the family's 1533-position model. The record is from RNAcentral.